RNAcentral lists this unclassified non-coding RNA (460 nucleotides) under Hevea brasiliensis (rubber tree). Lineage: Eukaryota; Viridiplantae; Streptophyta; Magnoliopsida; Malpighiales; Euphorbiaceae. The record is from RNAcentral.
AACGCCACAUUGAAAUCAAAUGCUUCAUUCCUUUCGUUAAACCCUAGUCCAAUGAACGCAUGUUUCCCUCUCCCAUCCUCGAUCUUCAACACGAAGUACCUCGACGAAUCCAACACCGAUUCCACCGAGCUCUCUCUCUGUCCCGGCGGCACAAAACACGCCGCGAACAGCUCAGCUGAGUUCGGAUCCUCCAGUCGGAUCUCACAACGUUCCUUACAGGAUACAACCCGGAGCCGACCCGUCCAGAUCUUAUCGGAUUGUAGCCAUUCACCACACUUGUAACCACCGCUCGUCGGACGCGGCGGGAUUUUGAAAACAGACACCUCACGCACCACAAGGAGCGUGUGCUCAAACGAUUCUUCAUCCUCCUCGAACGACAUUGUCUUUGAAGCUACGUUAACAAUGGAAGAUCAAAGAAAAAAUCAGUCUUUCAGCUUUUUCGGAGUGAAGAAGAAAGGUG